GUUAUAAAAAUAUGCUUUAUCUUGUUUGAUAUAUUUUAAUUUUUAUUAUAAUAUAAUUCUAAUAUACAGUGUUCCGUAAGUCUGGAAUCAUAUGAGUUAUGUUGAUCUUUGUUUAUCAUUUUAUAGGUAAAAACAUGAUGCCAAGUAAGAAGGAAUAAAUUGAAGUUAUUUUGAUGGAGAGGAUGCACAGUCGCGUGAAUUUUCCAAGAAGUUUAACAGGCUGCAUUCAGAUCAUCGUGUGUGAUUAGUGGGAAGUCUCGACACAACAUAAUAAACUCUUUGGCAUCUUGUUGCCAACAGAGAUUUCCACCAUCAAAAUAACUCAAAUUUAUUUCUCCUCACUCGAUGACAUGCUUUACCUGUAAGACAGUAAGCGAAGAUCAGCAUAUAACUCUUACAGUUCAAGACUUCGGAUCCUUAUAUAUGAAAUAUAAAUCAAAUACAAUAUUUUUUGUUUCGUUUAAUUAUUUAUUAAAUAUAGAGUGGCUUGUACGAAUAUUAGGUCCUAGUCAAUACAAAGAAGGAAAUAAAACAAUAAUUUCGUUAGUACAACAUCCUCUUCUAAAUAAACAGUUGACUUACAUUCUACUCGACAUAAUAGUCCUGGAACUCUUUCCGGAACUAAAACAGACAACAGAAAGCUAGCCGUAAAAAUAUUUAAUAGAAAUUCAUCUUCGCACAAGAAAAUGACCAAAUAUGUAUAUUAUUACCUAUAUGAAUGUGCCUGUAUUGGGAAGUUUUGAUGUAUAUAAAAUAUAAAUAUCAUAUUGAUAAAAUUUAUUAUUACCCCUUCCCUGCGAUAAAAUAAAUUGUUUUUAUCUCCCAUUCUUGUAUAUGUAACGUAUUAGCUAACAUUCCAGAAAUGUGCCAUAAAAGUAAAAGUCAUCUUUUGAUUAAGAUUGUUUAUAUAAAGAAGAAAAUGAAUUGUAAUUAUGUAUAGUGUGUGCAUUAAUUUUAUAAAAAAAAAAAAAAAAUAUUCACCAUGUCUGUUCACCUGAUAGUCAUUGCAAAUUCCUUUAUCAUCUCAGAACAUGGUGGAUAAUGUAAAAUAGAAAAACGGGUGUAAAAAUAUGUUUUCAGAGAAAAAAAUAAAUGAUGAUAUAUUA
This is a long non-coding RNA of Centruroides sculpturatus (bark scorpion), 1106 nucleotides long. RefSeq lists it as uncharacterized. The record is from RefSeq and is a predicted model, not a curated record. The transcript is spliced from 2 exons. Lineage: Eukaryota; Metazoa; Arthropoda; Arachnida; Scorpiones; Buthidae.